RNAcentral lists this ribosomal RNA (281 nucleotides) under uncultured Erysipelothrix sp. RNAcentral's name for it is "partial 16S ribosomal RNA". It matches the Rfam family "Bacterial small subunit ribosomal RNA", at positions 1100 to 1382 of the family's 1533-position model. The record is from RNAcentral. Lineage: Bacteria; Bacillati; Bacillota; Erysipelotrichia; Erysipelotrichales; Erysipelotrichaceae.
AACCCUUGUCUUUAGUUACCAUCAUUAAGUUGGGGACUCUAGAGAGACUGCCGGUGAUAAACCGGAGGAAGGUGGGGAUGACGUCAAAUCAUCAUGCCCCUUAUGGCCUGGGCUACAAACGUAAUACAAUGGCGUAUACAAAGGGAUGCGAAAGGGCGACCUGGAGCAAAACUCACAAAGUACGUCUCAGUUCAGAUUGGAGUCUGCAACUCGACUCCAUGAAGGCGGAAUCGCUAGUAAUCGCGGAUCAGCAUGCCGCGGUGAAUACGUUCUCGGGGUUU